Molecule: ribosomal RNA, 434 nt
Filed under: uncultured Lachnospiraceae bacterium
Lineage: Bacteria; Bacillati; Bacillota; Clostridia; Lachnospirales; Lachnospiraceae
Also listed under: 2 other names
Description: bacterial SSU rRNA
Rfam family: Bacterial small subunit ribosomal RNA
Source: RNAcentral
ACGGAAGGCAGCAGUGGGGAAUAUUGGUCAAUGGGGGCAACCCUGAACCAGCGACGCCGCGUGAGUGAAGAAGUAUUUCGGUAUGUAAAGCUCUAUCAGCAGGGACGAUAAUGACGGUACCUGACUAAGAAGCCCCGGCUAACUACGUGCCAGCAGCCGCGGUAAUACGUAGGGGGCAAGCGUUAUCCGGAUUUACUGGGUGUAAAGGGAGCGUAGGUGGUCAGGUAAGUCAGAUGUGAAAGCACGGGGCUCAACCCCGUGACUGCAUUUGAAACUGCUUGACUAGAGUGCAGGAGGGGUAAGUGGAAUUCCUAGUGUAGCGGUGAAAUGCGUAGAUAUUAGGAGGAACACCAGUGGCGAAGGCGGCUUACUGGACUGUAACUGACACUGAGGCUCGAAAGCGUGGGUAGCAAACAGGAUUAGAUACCCUGGUA